UGAAGAGAUAAAUUGAGCCUCGGCUUCAUUAACAGCCUCUUGUCUUGUUGCUGUGAUGCAGGUCGGCCGCGUUGCGGCGUAGGGAGACACAAAACAACGUGCGACUGGCUUCGACGGAUUUUUAAGAACCUGGACUGGAUUUAUCUUGAUAAGGUAACUGGAAGACGACGUGAACUGAAUCCACGGCUGGAUCACUCUAGUUUGGUAUUUUGAAGUUGGGUGUUAUUUAUACUGUGUUCAGUUGUAAAGCAGUUUGAGCCCCAUUAGAUUUAUUAGCUGCCUGACAAUAUGGAAUGCUUUUUUUUUUUUUCUAAAUCUAGAAACAUUUAUAGGGUUAAAAUUGUGACUGUAUGAACUCAAAUGCACACUGGCAAAUAAAGUGAC
Long non-coding RNA from Etheostoma spectabile (orangethroat darter), 384 nucleotides. RefSeq lists it as uncharacterized. The record is from RefSeq and is a predicted model, not a curated record. NCBI's taxonomy places the organism in Eukaryota, Metazoa, Chordata, Actinopteri, Perciformes, Percidae. The transcript is spliced from 3 exons.